This 320-nucleotide unclassified non-coding RNA is filed under the name uncultured Gammaproteobacteria bacterium. RNAcentral's name for it is "contains 16S-23S intergenic spacer region". Lineage: Bacteria; Pseudomonadati; Pseudomonadota; Gammaproteobacteria. The record is from RNAcentral.
UCCGAGUUGACCCCGGCAGUCUCCUAUGAGUCCCCGGCAUUAUCCGCUGGCAACAUAGAACGAGGGUUGCGCUCGUUGCGGGACUUAACCCAACAUCUCACGUCUCCAUGAGGUUCCGUACAUGUCAAGGGUAGGUAAGGUUUUUCGCGUUGCGUCGAAUUAAACCACAUCAUCCACCGCUUGUGCGGGCCCCCGUCAAUUCCUUUGAGUUUUAAUCUUGCGACCGUACUCCCCAGGCGGAUGACUUCUCGCGUUAGCUGCGUUACUAAAGGAUUUAACUCCUCCAACAACUAGUCAUCAUCGUUUAGGGCGUGGACUAC